This 257-nucleotide long non-coding RNA is filed under the name Lathyrus oleraceus (garden pea). Its description in RNAcentral is "Pisum sativum (pea) long non-coding RNA (PSAT_LNC038772)". Lineage: Eukaryota; Viridiplantae; Streptophyta; Magnoliopsida; Fabales; Fabaceae. The record is from RNAcentral.
CUAACUUGAGGAGUGUUGGAUCUGGCACGUCAAUUAAUGACGCUUGAUCCAACACUCUGUGUUUUUUUUCCUGAUUUUAUUUCUUUUUCUAUUUUCAUUUUUAAUUGCGUUUUUUUAAAUUCAUAGAAAAUUCAUUUUACAUCCAAAAAAUCCAAAAAUAAUUUCUAAAAUUCUCUUUUAUUUUUCCCAUCUAAUUUUUAUUUUUCCACAUUUUAUUUUAUUGAUUUUCUAUUUUUUGUAGGAUUUCUCUUUUCUCU